UAGAGUUUGAUCCUGGCUCAGGAUUAACGCUGGCGGCGUGCAUAACACAUGCAAGUCGAACGAUGAAACUUAGUAGACUUCUUCGGAAAGACACUAAGCGGAUUAGUGGCGAACGGGUGAGUAACGCGUGAGUAACCUGCCUUACACAAGGGGAUAGCCUUUGGAAACGAAGAAUAAUACCCUAUAAAACCAUAAAAGCACAUGCUAGAAUGGUCAAAGUGCUAGCGGUGUAAGAUGGACUUGCGUCUGAUUAGCUAGUUGGUGAGAUAAAAGCUCACCAAGGCAACGAUCAGUAGCCGGCUUGAGAGAGUGUACGGCCACAUUGGGACUGAGACACGGCCCAGACUCCUACGGGAGGCAGCAGUGGGGAAUUUUGCACAAUGGGGGAAACCCUGAUGCAGCGACGCCGCGUGAUUUAGAAGGCCUUCGGGUUGUAAAAAUCUUUUGUAUAGGAAGAAAAUGACAGUACUAUACGAAUAAGGUCCGGCUAAUUACGUGCCAGCAGCCGCGGUAAUACGUAAGGACCGAGCGUUGUCCGGAAUCAUUGGGCGUAAAGGGUACGUAGGCGGCUAGAAAAGUUAGAAGUCAAAGG
Molecule: ribosomal RNA, 592 nt
Filed under: uncultured Anaerococcus sp.
Lineage: Bacteria; Bacillati; Bacillota; Tissierellia; Tissierellales; Peptoniphilaceae
Description: bacterial SSU rRNA
Rfam family: Bacterial small subunit ribosomal RNA
Source: RNAcentral